Non-coding RNA from Ricinus communis (castor bean), 108 nucleotides. The record is from Rfam. Lineage: Eukaryota; Viridiplantae; Streptophyta; Magnoliopsida; Malpighiales; Euphorbiaceae.
AUAUCCAUGGAGUGGACAUUGCAAUAAAAGUAAUUUGAAGCGAUUCCAUGUUUCAUGAAAAGUUUUAGUAUCCUUUUGAUAAAAAUUAGAAAUUUCAGCUCUUAAUUC